This 239-nucleotide ribosomal RNA is filed under the name uncultured bacterium. RNAcentral describes it as "partial 16S ribosomal RNA". It matches the Rfam family "Bacterial small subunit ribosomal RNA", at positions 118 to 351 of the family's 1533-position model. The record is from RNAcentral.
UGAGUAACCUGUCCUCGGCACCGGGAUAGCCCGGGGAAACCCGGAUUAAUACCGGAUGGCCUUUCGAGUCUUCGGGCUCGUCAGAAAAGGUAGCUUCGGCCUCCGGCCGAGGAGGGACUCGCGGCGGAUUAGCUUGUUGGUGGGGUAACGGCUCACCAAGGCGACGAUCCGUAGCUGGUCUGAGAGGACGAUCAGCCACACUGGGACUGAGACACGGCCCAGACUCCUACGGGAGGCAG